UCCAAGGUAAUCGAUCAUCACAACCAAGUAAUUUAAACAAAAUUUGAAUUAGUCAAUCAAUUCAGUUAAAACAAAUUUUAUUUAAAAGUGACUAAAACAAGGUAGAUACAAUGUGCUCAAACUAAGCCCAAACGAAGCAUGAUCGAUGGCCAACAAACACAACAUACAUCUCAACACUUCAAAUUAAAUCAGCCUGAAAACUCUUACUGGAUAAUAAUUACAUCAGCCCGAUAAUAGAUUAUAUAUAAACGACUCUCUCAACAAUGGUGAUAAUCACUUGGCUCGAUUCACAUGCGUAUGAAGCACGACAAACCAACAACCAAAAUGUUUGUAUCAUUCAAAGAUCAAUGCAACCUUCUUUAUACAUUUCAUAAAUAAAAUAUCCUGCAUCUUAAAAACUGAUCCUCACAGUAGUCAUAACAACAUAAAACCAAAGAUUAACGGCAUUGCCUCUCCGUAUAAUACAUUCUACAAUACGCACAACAGGAAUAUGUGUACCAACACACAGAUGAUCGAGAAUACACGAUGCAAUGUCAGAUUUGUGUAGUUCAAAAUCAAAUUAAAAUUUUAAACUUGAAAUGAAAAGGUUACCGAUACUGAGUUGGCUACCGUAAUGACAGCUAAAGGGACUCAAAAUUUCCUUUGAAGCUUUAUGGUGGUUUGUUGUUUUCGUUGAGGACUUCGGCGGCAGCGGAUUCUGGCGAUGGCAUAGUGAUGGUGUUUGAUGGAAUAUUUUCACUCACGUUGCUGCUAGAACUCUUGACUCAAUGCAAGUUGGAGGCGGAACAUUGAGGGAGAUACGGUGACUUCCGCUUGCGAGUCUUCUGGCGACAUAAAAACGGAACGAGCGGGCAAGGGUUCUGCGAUGUUUGUGCGACACCGACGGAGGCGCGAAUGGUGAAGGAAGCGAAUGUGUUUUCCGGUGUUGUAAAGGGUUGUUGUUGUUUAUGGUAAUGGAUUGGUUAGCUUGGAGAAGGAGGAGUACACCGCAUAAAGGUGAACAGAAGGAUUUGUAUAGUUAUUCAUGGACGAGGGUUUCGAAGUGUUGUCGCAGGGUUUGGUUAUGUUAUUUGUGUGAGAUCCGGCGACAAAAGGUAGCGUGUGAGGAAGAUGAGGGACGAGGUUAUGGGUUCAACGGUAGAGCAAAAGGGUUAUAGUAGUGGAUGGCGCGUUGGAGGUGUGAAGAAGAAGAGGAUGGCACGACAAUGGGUUUUUGAAGGUAGGUAGUGGAGGGUUUUUUCGAAUUAAAGAAGAAGUUGGGUGGAGAAUAGGUGUGGUUUUGGGAGUUCACGACGGUGAUGGUUAAGGGAAGAAGAAAGGAUGCGGUCGGUGGUGUGAAGAAGAAGAGGAACAGUGUUUUUUCUUUUUCUUCUUGCUAUUCUAUUUUAGUAGCAGAGAGUGGAGAGAGGAGAAAGGUCCCUCGUGGGCUCUUUUUAAUUUUUUUUCUUUAGCUUUUCACUUUUUUUCUUUUUUUAGAGAGAAAAGAGGUUAGGUCAAUGGGAGGAAAUGAGUGGUAUCAGGUGAGAGAAAGAAUCUUGUGAGUGAGGUGUGAGUGAUUCUAUUUAUUUCUUUUUUCUUUUUGUAACGUGAGGAACCUGUGAGAGAGAGAGGAAGUUGUUAUUGAUGAGUGUUUUG
Molecule: long non-coding RNA, 1635 nt
Filed under: Lathyrus oleraceus (garden pea)
Lineage: Eukaryota; Viridiplantae; Streptophyta; Magnoliopsida; Fabales; Fabaceae
Description: Pisum sativum (pea) long non-coding RNA (PSAT_LNC005957)
Source: RNAcentral